Molecule: ribosomal RNA, 434 nt
Filed under: uncultured bacterium
Lineage: Bacteria
Description: bacterial SSU rRNA
Rfam family: Bacterial small subunit ribosomal RNA
Source: RNAcentral
AACGAACGCUGGCGGCAUGCCUAACACAUGCAAGUCGAACGAAGCCUUCGGGCUUAGUGGCGCACGGGUGCGUAACACGUGGGAAUCUGCCCUUCGGUUCGGAAUAACAGUUAGAAAUGACUGCUAAUACCGGAUGAUGACGAAAGUCCAAAGAUUUAUCGCCGAAGGAUGAGCCCGCGUAGGAUUAGGUAGUUGGUAGGGUAAUGGCCUACCAAGCCGACGAUCCUUAGCUGGUCUGAGAGGAUGAUCAGCCACACUGGGACUGAGACACGGCCCAGACUCCUACGGGAGGCAGCAGUGGGGAAUAUUGGACAAUAGGGCGAAAGCCUGAUCCAGCAAUGCCGCGUGAGUGAUGAAGGCCUUAGGGUUGUAAAGCUCUUUUACCAGGGAUGAUAAUGACAGUACCUGGAGAAUAAGCUCCGGCUAACUCCGUG